CCAGCACUCCCAGGACACCACUGAUCCCGUUGCACCACAGCGGGAACUCUUCUUACGACUAUUCUAAGCACAUCUGUGCCGAACACAGAAGACCGUGGAGAUGAACACGUCACAGCAAUACUGCGGCUUCAUCACUGAAUCAGAGACCCUGCUGAGACAAAGAAAGAGCAACAGCGACCGAGAGCCAAGACAACCCCAUGGACUGUGUUUCCAGCACCAGGUGAAAAAUGACGUAAAGCCCAUCAGGAUUUCUUGUGGGAACUCGAACAGUGGACAUGUUAUUUUUAUUGAAUUUGAUUAAACCACAACACUCUAACAUUAGAACUAGAGAUGAAAUUCAGGUUUGCAGCUAAAUGUACACGGUUGAGCACAGCAUGGCUAAAAUGGUAGGCCUCAAAAUAUUUUCAGUAGAAGAUAAACUACUGAUGCCUUUCAGUUACUGCAAGGAUUAAAUCUGAGCAGAAGCUGCUAUUAAGUGGCUGCCCAUUACAGAAAUGGGGUUUAUUGGGAGUUGCACAGGAUGGGCUCAACACACGCUGAAACUGGGCGGCUUUAAUUUUCCUUCCUGUAAAAUUCUCACUUUGUUAUCUCACGGAAAGCAAAGGAUUUUGGAUAUCGGAAGACCCAGAGGCUAUAAUUUUCUACCAGGACCAUGUUCAGUCACUAACCAAUUCUAACUGUGUCUUGAGACCAAGUGUUUGGCAACCAGCUCUUCUUAAUUUGGUAAGUGUAGCAAUUGUUUUAUUUGGCCGUGCUGUUGUUUCUGCAGAGUUGCGAAGCUGGGAAUGAAGGAUUCUGCUUACUGUCUUUCUUCAACAGAGAGGAAAUUCCAUAGAUUUUCUUCCUCUAACUACUGUAUUUACUUCCUUUGUGCUUAAAUGGCUUGUUUACAGCAGAGCAAAUAUCUUUGCUCCUUUGAGGAGGUGACUGGAAAUUGUGGGCUCCUGUUCUCCAUUUCUGCCUGAGCCAAUAAAUUGUUUUCAAAUACCUA
This is a long non-coding RNA of Phacochoerus africanus (Common warthog), 991 nucleotides long. RefSeq lists it as uncharacterized. The transcript is spliced from 2 exons. NCBI's taxonomy places the organism in Eukaryota, Metazoa, Chordata, Mammalia, Artiodactyla, Suidae. The record is from RefSeq and is a predicted model, not a curated record.